UACAGAGGGUGCAAGCGUUGUUCGGAAUUAUUGGGCGUAAAGGGCGCGUAGGCGGUUCGGCAAGUCUCUAGUGAAAUCUCUGGGCUCAACUCAGAGUCUGCUGGGGAAACUGCCGGGCUUGAGUGUGGGAGAGGAGAGUGGAAUUCCCGGUGUAGCGGUGAAAUGCGUAGAUAUCUGGAGGAACACCGGUGGCGAAGGCGGCAUCCUGGACCGGCAUUGACGCUGAGGCGCGAAAGCCAGGGGAGCAAACGGG
Molecule: ribosomal RNA, 253 nt
Filed under: uncultured bacterium
Lineage: Bacteria
Description: partial 16S ribosomal RNA
Rfam family: Bacterial small subunit ribosomal RNA
Source: RNAcentral